Molecule: ribosomal RNA, 496 nt
Filed under: uncultured bacterium
Lineage: Bacteria
Description: partial 16S ribosomal RNA
Rfam family: Bacterial small subunit ribosomal RNA
Source: RNAcentral
AUGAACGCUGGCGGCGUGCCUAAUACAUGCAAGUCGAGCGAACAGACGAGGAGCUUGCUCCUCUGACGUUAGCGGCGGACGGGUGAGUAACACGUGGAUAACCUACCUAUAAGACUGGGAUAACUUCGGGAAACCGGAGCUAAUACCGGAUAAUAUAUUGAACCGCAUGGUUCAAUAGUGAAAGACGGUUUUGCUGUCACUUAUAGAUGGAUCCGCGCCGCAUUAGCUAGUUGGUAAGGUAACGGCUUACCAAGGCGACGAUGCGUAGCCGACCUGAGAGGGUGAUCGGCCACACUGGAACUGAGACACGGUCCAGACUCCUACGGGAGGCAGCAGUAGGGAAUCUUCUGCAAUGGGCGAAAGCUUGACGGAGCAACGCCGCGUGAGUGAUGAAGGUCUUCGGAUCGUAAAACUCUGUUAUUAGGGAAGAACAAAUGUGUAAGUAACUAUGCACGUCUUGACGGUACCUAAUCAGAAAGCCACGGCUAACUACGUG